This 38498-nucleotide long non-coding RNA is filed under the name Citrus maxima (pomelo). RNAcentral's name for it is "long non-coding RNA (CMAX_LNC001761)". Lineage: Eukaryota; Viridiplantae; Streptophyta; Magnoliopsida; Sapindales; Rutaceae. The record is from RNAcentral.
AAAUCAUCAAAUCAAACUCACACCUCACAAAAGCAGAGAAAUCAAACGGUUUCCGACUCUACGCUUUAAAUUCAGCUUCAUUUCUUCAACUGAAGAAUCGGUCGUCUCUCAUUUUUUAUUUAUUAUAUAAAGAAUCGGUCACUCUUCAAGUAACUAACUUUUCCUCUUUCACUUCUCUUCAUUUUUAUUAGUUAAUUAAGAUCCAGUUAAUGUAAUUAAUUUUAUUUAAUCUUUUAAAUAAAGUUCUAGAUUAGGCUAACUUAGAUUCAUGUGAAGUUGAAGUGAUUUACUUUCGAUCUCUUUUUCGUCCUAUGUUUAUUUGUACUUACUAUUACUUUUUUUUUUUGGGUUUAAAUUUUCGUUUUUGAAGUGUUUACUGAUUAAAUUUCUGAGCUUUAUUUGUGUAUGAUGAUUGAUUUGUGAUUUUAAUUUGUGACUUUUUUUUUUGGAAUUUAAAUUUGAAUGCUUUUUAAGUUGAAUUGAAUUGCUGUAUGAUCAGGUCAAAUUAAAAUGUUUAAGCUCAUUUUUAAGAAACGAAUUCUCAAUUGGACCAGCCUUUCACAGAAGCUGAUAUCACAGAAGCUUUGAGUCAGAUGCAUCCAACCAAAGCCCCUGGCCCAGAUGGUCUCCCAGCAGUAUUUUUCCAAAAGCUUUAGAAUUCAGUAAGCGAAGGAGUUAUAGCCACUUGUCUGCAUAUCCUCAAUGAUGGAGGUAAUAUUGCUCCUUUGAAUCAUACAUACAUUGCUUUAAUCCCCAAGAUAGCAAAACCUAGGACUCUGAUGGAGUAUAGACCAAUCAGCAUAUGUAAUGUAAUUUAUAGGAUCAUUGCAAAGACUAUAGCGAAUAGGCUGAGGCUAAUCUUAGAUCAUGUUAUUUCACCAACUCAGAGUGCUUUUAUGCCAAAUAGGCUCAUAACUGAUAAUAUAAUUAUUGGGCAUGAGUGUCUUCAUAAGUGGACAAAGCUAAGUUCCAGAGGUGAGAUAGGAAAUUCUCCCGCACGACACAGCAGAAACAAACUUUCCCUUUCAUUUUCUUUUCUCUUUCUCGCUCUCCAAACAGAGCAAAAGGACCGUCACAAGAUUCUUCACUUCCAUCCAAAAUCAUGAGCAACAAAUGGUGAGCCUCCCUGUUUCCUUCCUUUUUUUUAUAUUAACCUUGUUAACAUAUACUCAUUUUAAUUUGACAAUACUUCAACUUUUUUUAAUUUUUUGCCUUUUCAUUUUUUUUGUUGAAGCAAUUAUCUGUUCAAGCUGUUGCUUAUCGGAGACUCGUCCGUCGGAAAGUCCUGUCUGCUGCUCCGAUUUGCUGUCUGUUGACUUUUCCUUUCCCUUCUUAUUUUCUUUUUUUAUAUUAAUUACUUUCUAUUUUAGCUUUUUGUUCUCUGAAUUUGUGUUAUUAAAAUGAUAAUUUAGAUGAUAAAUAAUUGUUAUUGUUGUAAAUUUCGGUUUUCAUUACGUUAAUUGUUAGCUUUUAGGUUUAUUAAUGUAAUUUUUUUUUUUUCAAUUUUUCAGGAUGAUUCUUAUGUCACAGCUACAUCAGUACCAUUGGAGUUGAUUUUGUGAGUCUCUCUUCUAUAUAUAUGUAUAUAUGUGUAUAAGUUAUAAUAUGAGUCUAUGUACGUGUAUGUAUGUAUGUGUAUGCAUAUGUGGAAAGAAAUGUUGGCAGACUUCAGCAUUUUACUCUUUUUUUUUUUGGCAGAAAAUAAGAACUGUGGAGCUGGAUGGGAAGACGAUCAAACUGCAGAUUGUGAGUCAAAAUUUCCUUUUAUCUUGUAUUGAGAGAAAUUCGAUUUGUCUUAUUUUCUUUGUUUGAAGAGUGAUAUGUUGAAAUGAGUGUAUUUGUCUUAUAAACAUCAUUUAGGUAAUGUCUUAUGUUUGAUUGUUUUUCAUCUGUUUAGUGGGACACUGCUGGACAGGAGCGAUUCAGGACUAUAACUAGCAGUUAUUACCGAGGAGCCCAUGGAAUCAUAGUAAGGAGCCUUCCCGGUUCUUGGUUUAAAUCAGAAAGUUUGUGAUUUACAUGUGACAUCUUAACAGCAUUGUAUGUGUUUAUUAACUUAUUUUUCAUCUUUCAUUAAGCAGUACAUUUUCUAUUAAAUCUGUAUACAAGAUGAUGUAGUCCAAGAAUGGGAGCCAUAAUAUGAUGCAAAUUGUCUAAUAAAUUCUUAUGACAUAUGAUGUUGUCGGAAGUAAAAGUCUUGCAAUGCUGUAUUCUCUUUUAAGAAAGAAUAAGUGGUAAUUUUGUUUUUCCAAUUUUUUAAUUGAGCAACUGUAUGAGAUUAAUUAAAUGUGUUGGGAUUUCAACAGAUUGUCUAUGAUGUAACUGGGAUGGAGAGCUUCAAUAAUGUCAAGCAGUGGUUGAAUGAGAUUGACAGAUACGCAAAUGACAGUGUAUGCAAGCUUCUAGUUGGGAACAAAUGCGAUUUAGUUGUGAACAAGGUUGUGGACACACAGACAGCCAUGGUAUAUUCAUGACUUUUGUUGCCUGAACUUUGAAUAUAAUUUUAAACUCUUCUCAAGUGCAUUUGCUUGGUAAGUUUCUGCAUACCCAGGACACUCAAACUUUGGACAGUCUGUAUCUCGAGUUGGAAUCUUUUCUGUCAAUACGACUUGUUAAAAUAAGGGUUGUUAUCUUUUGAAUCAUUCAAGAAUUCACUACUACAAAAAUGACCUUUACUGACACUUCGUUUCUGACACUUCGUUUCUGACACUUCGUAAAAAGUGUCAGUAAUGGUUUACAUUUUGGUCAUUUUUUCCAUUUAACAAAUAUGUAUCAUAAAUCACUGGUACUAAGGUGUCAGUAGCAUAAAACUCAGUAAUUACUGAUGCUUUAGUAUCAGUGAUAAAGACAAAUAUAAUUCUAAUUAUAUUUUUACUUGGACUCGAACUCAAUAUCUCCGAAGUUAAAAUUUUAAUUUCAAACUACAAGCCACGUGUGCGCAUAUUUUCUUUGUUUGGUUAAACCAUAUAUAAUUAACCAAAAACCCUUUGCCAUAAUUUAACACAAACUUUUCGAUCUCCCUCCACCAAAUUUUGUUCCCUCUCAAACAAACUAAAAUCCAAAUCCCUAAAAUUCCAAGUGCCUAAAUCCUUAACUCUCCCUAAGUGCUAACCAGUGACAGCCCCUCUCUAAGGCCUUAGCAGCACGCACGAUGACGGCGGCACACGUAGCCCGAGUACCGGCAGCCCAGCAGGUCGCACCACACAUUGCAGUAGCUCGCUCGCUUUCACUCUCUCUCUGAAUGCACACACAGCAGUGGCAGCCCCUCUCUCUCACGCUCGUUUUGUCGCUCUCACUUUCUCCGUCUCUGGUCACCAUCUCACCUUCCGGUCUAAACUGUUGUCGUCGCAGCCGCGUUCAGCCGUCGCCAUCGUGCCGGCCGCUUGAGACAGUGAGUUGAGAUUCCACUUUUUAAUUUUUUUUCAUAAAAUUUUUGCCUGAAUUUGAUUAGUCAAAUACUCAAAUUAAUUGCGUUGUGAGUAAUACUGUAAUGAUUUAAUUUGCCCUGCAUCCCCUGCAGAAGGUAAGCAACUCCAUUUUUAGGGUUCGUGUAGUAGUGUCUUGACUGAAUCGCCUUAGUAAUCAUAAGGUCAGUUUUCUCAAGAAGGGCAACUUCGAUCUUUUGGCAUUUUCAGUGCUGCUUCUGAAUCUCUGUUUACUGUAGCCUGCUUCUACAUGUGAUUUGAGGGCCAAGAAUUUAUCUCAAGGGAAAAUCACAUUAUGUUUCAAUUCUCUGUUUGACCCUUUUAACUUUUGAAUAUCAACAUUAUAUGUUUAGUGUUCCGUCAAUUGUUUUAUCAAAUACAUAGACCUUUGGGCUUUAGACACUAGUGUUCAAAAUUAGCAUCUAGUUUUUAUGGUAUCUUUGAGCAGGGGUUUCGCUUCAUUUGGUUGAAUAAAAGAUCAGUUUUCAUUGUCAUGGAUCAAAAAAAAAAAAAAAGGCCUUGGCCACUAGUACCUCAGGAGGUCAAAGCCAAGGCUUCCAAAGACAAUGUUCCCAUGAUCGAUGUGACUCAAUUUGGCUACUUUAAGGUUUUAGGUAAGGGCCUUUUGCUUGAGAACCAACUCGUUGUGGUGAAGGCCAAGCUUGUUUCCAAAAUAGCCAAGAAGAAACUUAAAAAAUCUGGUGGGUCUGUCGUGUUUACUGCUUGGGUUUAGUGUUAUUGCUUUUAUAAUUUUUUUUCUGUUAUUUUGGUUUCAGCUUUUGAGGAUUUGACUAUAUAGUUUUGGAUAUUUAUGUUAUCAUCGGAAACUUUUUGUUUUAUAUUAAGGCAUGUUAUUGAUUAAGAAGAAGAAGAAGAAGAAGAAGAAGAAGAAGAAGAAGAAUAUUUUGCAGAAAAUGUUUUAGUUUCUUUCUUCCAUUCGGCAUUUGUAGUAUUUAUUUGAUUCGAUUUCUGUCAUGGUGUGUUGAUUAUGCGGAUGAUAAGAUACUACCUUGCUCCUUUACUUAUGUUUGAUUCCUUAUACUAGAAACAUACCUCUAGUAGAGUUGCCAUUUAUCUACUUUAUUGUUGUAAAAUCUGUUAUAAAAUGUAUAAGCAAUCAUUCAUUUGAACUCUCUUUAUAUGCUUAAAAUCUGAAUUCAUGUACAAGGUGUUAGUGUCAAUGUUGUUGAUCAUUUCAAUAAGUAGUGCCAAUUUAUAAUGACCUUGGUGCAUUUCUAUUCAGUCAGUAAACUUUUGUCAUUUAAGUUGUUUAUUUGUUUAACAAAUGUAUAACUAGUUUCUACAAAUUUACUUUGUGUAUAAUAGAUGAUUCAAAAUCUUGGCAUAGAGGAAAGUGAAGUUUCUGAGGUAAAUAAGGUACUUUACAAAAACUAUACCACAUCAAUGGUUGGUCUAAGAUACAAUAUAUAUGUAAGUUUAAAUGCACUAUUAUUUAUAUACAUAUCCUUGCCAAAAAAAAAAAAAACCAAUAAAAGCAGUUUCAUAAACUGAUGUAAAUGUUGUUAUUAUUGUUAAUUUGCAGGCUAUCAGCUAUGAUGUCGACAAUGGUGACUAUCAUAGGUAACAUUAUUUUCCUUUCUAAUUCAUCUGAAAGUGUUAAUUUGCAGGGGCUGUUUCUACUACAGAAUAGCAACAAGACAGCCCCUGUAGAUUUCUAGUGGUUGUUUUCACUGCACAACAGCCCCUACAGAUUUCCGGGGGAUGUUUUGUUGCUAUUCUAAAGUCAAAAAAACUCGUAUAAUUUUUUUGGGCUAUUUUGCAAUGAAAAUACUUUUGAGGUUUGUUGAGGAAGGAGGGGAAUGAGAGCGGUAGUUUUUUAGAAGGCUUGAUGAGAGUUUCAUAAAUUUGACAAGUUUUAUGAGAUUAAAGUGAAAGAAGUUUAUGCUAAGGCUGAAAGUUUGAGUGGGUAAAUGGAUGUUUUGAUUGCAGAUUUCUGUUGUUUGAUUAUAAAAAAUAGGAAGGUUUUAAUUAGAUUGACUUAGAUGUUUUGUUUUCUGUGACUUGUAGCAGGUUAUCCAACAUGGCUUCUUUAGACAACUUAAGCUAAGGUUCUUUAUUUCUAUAACUUUCAGUAUUAUUGUAAUAUUAUUUCUUAUUAUUUUAUUAGUUGUUGAAACAUCCUUCAAUUGCUUUGUUUAACUACUCGCAAUCAAUUUGUUUUCCAUAAUCUAUUUCCAUACUAAUUGAUUUUAAUUAUGUUGUUGUAGGUGGGGAAAAAAUGAAGCUGCAUAUGGAUAUUGAGUGAUGUUCUUGUGCUUCUUUUUGGUGGAAACUAAAUUAGUACUUUGUGGUUGUUGAAAACUUAAUUUAGUACUUAUAUUUUUCUUUUCCAGAUAGUGGUGUAGUUGAAUCAUGUGAAUUUGAGUGAUGUAUUUGGGAUGUUUAUUAUGUGAAUUAUAUUGUGACAUUUUAUAUAUUUGAUAUAUUUUGAGCUUUCUUUUAGUUGUAAAACAAACAGGAAAAAUAUAAUUAGAAUAAAAAAAAUUUAUUAACCAAUCCUCAAUAACAUUACGAAAUACUGACAUUAAAUAUUUAAAUUGAAAUGAAUAUUUUUUGAUAUUAUCGAGCUAGCUUGUUAUUGAUACUAUAGUCACAUAAAUCACUGACAUGUAAAUAGUAUCAUCAAAUAUUAACAUUAUCGUAUCAUUAUUUUGGUGAUACUAUAGUGACAUGAAUUACUGAUACAAAAAUCACUGACACUAAAAAUUAGUGUCAGUGUGUUCUGGCUUGAGCAUCACUGACACAAUUAACAAGUGUCAAGAAAAGUAAUUACUGACACUAAUUUAGUGUCAGUAAAACCCAUUUUUGUAGUAGUGAUUGCAAUAAAUCUAAAGUCCAUAAAAAAUAUGAUUCCAUCAUUUUACUAUUAUAUCUAGACAAAACCCAUUAUUUUACUACAUUUCAUUGGCACCGAUAGUUGACCUGUUGGCUGACUGAUAAAAUAUCAAUUUUGCACUUUAUAUUAAUUGUUUUUUGGUUAAAAAAUAACACACAAAGUAUUACAAUAUUAUAAAUUCAAAAUAUAAAGUAGUUACAAAUAAUUCCUAUUAGCCUAUGAAUAUAAUAUUUGAUACCUCUAUUUGUGUAAUUUUUUUCCAAUGGUGAAAUUGUUAUUUUUUUUGUACUAACGGAAAUGUAGUAAAAUCAUAAGUUUUGUAAAGAUAUAGUAGUAAAAUGAUAGACUAAAAUACUUCUUGUAGUUGUUUGAUAUAUUGUAAUUCUUAAAGUAGUCAAUUGAUAAUAUCCCCUAAAAUAAAUGUUCGUAAUAUGUUCUCAUUUUAAUGCAACUGAUUGUUUAAUAAAAUUGUAUUUCUUUGUUAAUCUUUUAUCAUGUGCAUGCUCAGUGAGAAUUUGACUUGCUAGAACACAAGUUUGACUCUUCAUUUAAAUGUCUCUUGUAUCAUAUCCUUCAAUGUUGAGUGUGAUUCCAAUAAAAUUGAGUAGGGAGAUCCUUAAAUACCUUUUCCUUUUUUCCAAGGGCCUGCCAAAUUGCUCUAAGUGGUUCUACCCUUUAUCAAUGAAUAAUGAAAAUAAAAUUUUUAUUAAAGCAUUCUGUUCCUUAAAUGGUGACUAAUAGUACCCUUUUUUUUUUGGAGAGGAAAGCCAAACGCCCAAAGAGGAUCAUUUACUUUCCUCUAAUGUAUUUUCUAAUUCGUUUUGAGCCUUGAAUGUCUGUUUUGGUGCGUAUUCUCAUUCCAUGUCGAAUCUUAUCCAUAUGGACAACCCCACUUACAAAAAAGUCUAAUGAAUCUAUUGAAGUUCAUAUGAGGUUUGUGCUUUAGAUUUAGACCUCUCUCUCUCUCUCUCUCUCCACUUACAUGUCUUUCACUUACCUGUUUGCAUGCAUGCCCAUGCACACACUUUCAAGAUAAUACACGGUCACUCGUACUUCUGUUUUGGUUGAAUUACUGGCUGCUAACCUCUGUAAUUCAGUUUGAAACUUGCCACCCUUAGUGCUUCACUCAAAUGGUUGGUUAGGGUGAGAUCUGUAUCGUUUUCCUGGUCUCUUUCCAAGGUUAUCUAAAGGGAUUUGGCAGUCUGAUUCUUUAGGGAAUAUCAUUGCAUAAGAUAUCUAUUGUUUGUUAAUGAAUAAUUUCUAUUUAACUAGUUAUCUAUAUAAAUUGGUAAAUUUUAACUGCAUAAUUUGCAUGCAAUAAGAUUUUAUAAGAAUCUUGUUUUCAACGCAUGACUUAGACUAAUGUGAUAUGUUGAGCAUUAAGCUACAAGAUCUGCACAUCAAAGUGCUUCACAAUGUUAAGGAGAAAGCAUCUUUUUCUGCUUCUUCAUGUGAUUUAAAGUUUCCAUGGUACUUAUCUAAUAAAAUAUCUUUCAAGACUUUGGAAAUGCUUUUAUGUAUGACUGAGAGAAACUUGUUGGGUUGGUUUUUAGCAACAGACGGAGUUAUGGACUUUGUGUUGACUUGUUAUUGAUUAAGACAGUACAUCGGCUGAUCUAUUGGCAUCAAGCAGCAGAUGCAGAAAUUAUGGGUGGCAUACCAUUGUAUCCAAAUAACAUACUACAUUGAUUUUUCUGACUUUCUGUUGGCCUCCGAGUGAAAUGCAGGCAUUUGCAGAUGAACUGGGGAUUCCUUUCCUGGAGACGAGUGCCAAAGAUGCAAUCAAUGUGGAGCAGGCUUUCUUGACCAUGGCCGGCGAGAUUAAGAAAAAGUAAAAUCACUUAACUCUUUCCUUCUUGCCGACUGUUCUUAUUCAACAACCACCAUUAUUGCUGGUUAUGUGCAUUGUGAUGAAAAUUCUGCAAUGAAUAACUUUUUACCUAAUGUUUUCUGUUGGAACAAAUUACUCUGGUAGAAAAGCCCUACAGGGUUUGAGAAAUCCCAUGAUGUGAUGAUUGUGAGCAUUUUAGACACCGUGUAUGGGUUUAUUUUGUGACUAUAAAAUGUUAAGAUUGUUUCUAGUUUUGGUUUGUAGUGCAUAAAAGGAUUCAAAAUUUGACAUCUGUCUAAAUCAGAUUAAUAACAUGAUAAUAAUGUACAUAUGCAAGAUGUGAGGAAUUGUUUUAUCUCACCCCUAAACUUUAAGAAAUUGAAACAUUAUUAUUCAAAAUAUUUAACAUUUCCAGAAUUGAUAGUUGUCUAUUUGAGCAGUGACUGGUGGUUAUCAUGAACUGAUGUGUGGUUGUGGUUUCAAAUCUUCGUGAAACCUGUUGUCAUAUGCUGAUUAACAUAGCUAGUCUCUGAAACAAUUUGUUGAUUCACUAAUUAUGAGUUCAAAUUUGAUGCAGAAUGGGCAACCAGCCUACUGCAAACAAAUCUUCUGGAACAGUUCAGAUGAAGGGAUAGCCAAUCCAGCAAAACAGCAACCGCUGUGGUUAGCCGAGCAUCUUAUUUUACUUCUACAUGUUAGCUGACUGAUUGUAGACAGUUUUAACUAUGUUGACUGCAUUAUCUUAUGAAUCUUUUAAUCUGUCAAAUAUUUAUUUCCUGCUUUAAGUUCUUUCCCGUUUAUAACAAAUUUAAUUUCUUGCUCUAUAGCAUUCCAAAUUCCUGUUAAUUUACGAGGGAAAAAGAAAAGAGACGAAAUGGGAGAAAAUGGUCAAAUUUGUUAGGGGGGGAGAGCUGUUGAAGUAGUUUUUGUUCUUGUUUAUCAUCGUGACCCUCUUGUCGCUUAUCUACUACCUGGAAGUCCGGUCAUAUCGGAUGGGUAAAGUUACCGAAACGGCAUCAUUUUGGGUGAAAUAUCAUGUUUAUAUAACACUUUUGAUAAUAUUUUUAUGCAACAAAAAAAUGUUUGCAGUACCCUUUUCACAUUGUGAAGCGCAUGAUCGGAUGAGAGCAGUCUGGAUUCUGGCAUCACAAGCUAAUGCUUUGAUUUGCUUAGUUUGUUUUUUGUUUCUGAUAUUUUCUCGGCAUAGUGUAAAUGUAUGAAGAUGAAAUUGUUGGGUUGGUUUUGUUAUGGAAUUUGGUUUACUUCACUAACCAUUAAUGCGCAAAACCUCCUAACGACCCUCAAAAAUCCCGUACAUAAUUAAAGAAUUUCAAUUUUAUAUGUACAUAAAUAAAUAACUCUCAAAUAUAUUAUUUGAUAAUCCCAAAAACAACAAUUCAUUUUAAUAAAUCUCGUAGUCAAUACAUGGUCUAUAUUGCAAGUGUUUUCGAGACUAAUUGAAAAAGAAAAUACGAAGGAUAUAUAAUUGACUUUUACUUGUUAUAAAGAACUCUAAAUAAAUUCAUAUACGCAUCGCAGCUAAUUACAGUCUUGGUACUUCAUUAGGUUUUUGUUAAUUUUCUAUACAGUUGUGCUGUGCAUUAAAGUUUUGUUAAAUGAAAUCGGUAGUGAGAAUUAAUUAAUUAAUUAAUUAAGAUCCAGUUAAUGUAAUUAAUUUUAUUUGAUUUUUUUUAAUUCGAGUUCUAAAUUAAUCAAUUAAUUUAGAUUCAUGUGAAAUUGAAGUGAAUUAGUUUCAAACUGUUUUUCGUUCUAUGUUUGUCUGUGUUUACUCUUACUUUUUUUUUUUGUUUAAGUUUUCGUUUUCUUAUUGUUUACUGAAUAAAUUUCUGAGCUUUAUUUGAGUAUGAUGAUUGAUUUGUGAUUUUAAUUUGUGACUUUUUUUUUUGGAAUUUAAAUCUGAAUGCUUUUUAAGUUGAAUCUGAAUGUGUUGGGCUGCGAUUUAAUUGAGUGAUGUGUGAGCGCCAAAUAUUCAAUAACUGAUAAAUUAUAUUUAUAAAUAUUAAUAGUGAUGGCACAUAAACAAUUAAUUCAAGAACUUGCCCAUAAGCCACUCGGCCUUUGGCUGAGUGGUCAGGACUGCUGCCCUUGGAGGGCAGCAAUUCGAACCCUCACAAUGCAUUGUGGGGGUAUUUUCUUUCUUAAUUAAAUUUGAGUGAAGGCAGUCUGCUCUCUUACCCAAAAGUGAGGAGAGGGAGUAGACAUCCCUCGAAUAUUUGAGAGGGUUAAAAUCUGGGCAUCGCUCCAUUAGCAUUGAUGUAAGUUGGUCCCAGUCAUAAUCUGAUUUGUAAAUAUCAGUUAUAUUCUCAUGUAAUAUGAGUUGUAAUCUGAGUAAUAGUCUCAUGUAAUAAAAAAAAAAAACGAACUUGCCCAUAGUGAUUAAUUUAAAGAGUAUAAGUAACAUUGCAGUAAGUUGGUCCUUGCGUGUUUAAUUAGCAAUUGAAAACUACUGUUGCUGAUGAGGUAGAACAUUAUAACACUGUUGCUGAUGAGGCAGCUGGUAAUUCUUCUGGUGAAGAUAUUAAGACUAUUAAAGCUGAAAUGUAAUUAGAGAAAUAUAAUGCAUUCCCUUAGUUUGCUUUUUGUUUUUGAUAUUUGUUUGGCUACUGCGUUGCUUAGAUUGCUUUUUGUUUUUGAGAUUUUAUUGGCUUGGUCAUGGGGUAUUGUUUUCUCUUCUAAUUUCUAUUUUUGUUGUUAUGGGAUUUGAUUAUGGUGUACAUAUACGAAAAUUAUGUAAUCAAGUGCUUUCGAUAAAUCAUGAUCGAUUUACUAUUAAUUAAUCAAAUUUAAUUUACUCAAAUUACUCAUGUACACGAUCAAAAUAAUUUUAAUUCCAUAAUAUAUAUACACACGCGCACACACAAACAAAAUGUAAUUGACAUUGAAAUAUAAAAUAUUUAAAAUAAUCACCGUACUAACAAUUCACAAGUUAGAUUUUAUAUAAAUAGAUGAAAUAAUGUUACUCUUGCGAAUCCAGUCAUAAUAAAUUGAUUUUCAUUUCUAUUAAUUAUGUCGAACCAUGCUAUUUUAAUAAAGAGCACUUGAGAAUAUAUAUCCAACAGGUAAAAUUUCAAAACAAUAUUUGCCAAAGUCUGAUGAAGAGAAUAUACACGCACGCACAUAUAUAACCAUACAGCAGAAGGAUAAAUAAAAGAAAAUGAAGUUUCAACAGCUGAAUAAUGUAAAUUCAUUUUUUUUAACAAGCAUUUUAUUGUUUAAUUAAAAAAUUCGAAAACCCAUUAAAUACAUAUAAGGACUCACUGACGCCGAACCAUAUUAAUUUAAAUUAGUUUUCAACUGAGAUUAGAAUUUUGAAAUUACAUACACAAACACGCCCAAUUAAAAAGUAGUAAUUAUAAAAUAUUUCAGUACUCGUUUUACCAUCCAUUUGAGCAUACACAAACACACCCAAUUUGAAAAAAAAAAGUAGUAAUUUUAAAAUAUUUCAAUCGUCCACUGUUCAGUCACCAAAAACCAAUUUACGAUUCAUUUCAACGCCUAAUUUGAAAAAAGAAAAUACUAAUAAUAAUAAAAUAUUCCAAUCGUCCAUCCUUUCACAAAUCAAAAAUAUCACCAAAAACCAAUUUCCAAUCUAUUUCAAAACAAUUUUUGCCAAAGUCCUCUCCUCGGCUAAUUAAUUCAUACAUUAAUACAGUCCUCUGCUGAAUAAUGCAAACCCGUUACGUUAUUCUACCAUUUCUUAAAUUUAAAGCAUUCCACCAUUUAAUAAAAAAAUUCGAAAGCCCACCGACACCAAACCAUAUUAAUUUAAAAUAGUUUCCAAUUGAGAUUUGAAUUUUAAAAUUACAUACACAAACACACCCGAUUUAAAAAAAAAUAAUAAUAAUGCUAACAAUAAAAUAUUUCAGCCGUCCUAUGUGUUAUCGCCAAAAACGGAUUUCCAAUCUAUUACAACAUGAGGUAUAUGAGUUAACAAGUCCCAAUAUUGUCCUCCAUCCUUUCUGCACUUCUCUGCUAUCAACGGACAUCCUGCGAUCUGUAAUUGCAAAAGUGAGGAAGGCAGGCCCUUCUCCGGAAAGUAUUUGAGCUUGGGACAAUUAUGGAGUCGCAAUACAGUGAGGUUUUGAAGAUCAACAAUUGAAGAAGAUAGGCGUUCCAGAUUUGGAAAAUUGAAAAUCUCCAGAGACGUUAGAGAGGCAGGAAGAGGAAGCGCGGUCCCUAAUCUUUUGUCCUCUAGUGGAAAUGACACCAUGUCCUCAUCACAUCCACUGAUUAAAAGACGUUGCAGAGAGGAGAAUCUGUGAAAUCCCCGUCCCCGCUCAAUCAUUGACUUCCAAAUCUCCAUAUUACCCCAAAUAUCAAGUGACUGAAGGUUGGUGGGAAGGCCAUCUUCUUCUUCAAGGCUUGGAAGCGCACCUCCUUUUCCUAUUGUUAAUUCUUGAAGAGAGCUCAGAUUGUGCAUUCCCUUGGGUAAGGCCUCUAGUCUCUUACAAUUAGAUAUCGCCAGCCUCCUGAGUUUCGCACAAGGCAAUCCCCCUUCGGGAAAGGACACCAGAUUUUUACAACUAUCUAUGCUGAUUGUUUCAAGAGAUGUGUUGUUGUCCAACCUUUCUGCUAUUGACUUCAGCUUUGAACAACUCCAAACAACGAGGGACUUAAGAGACGAAGGUAGAUUGCCAACUUCAAGGGACUCAAGCCUGGCAGGUAACUCGUUUUUUGAAAAUAUACAUGUCAGAGAUGGACAACUAAUAAUUUCUAAGUGCUCGAGAAGAGAUGAGGUGUACCUUCUGCUGCUGCUGCUGCUGCUACACUGGAUACCCUCUUCCGCUGUCAAAGUCCUUAUAUUAUCGCAAUUGUAAAUCUCCAACUGCUUAAGGCUCGGUGGUAGCUGGACCGCAACAAUAUAUGUCAACGAAUGGCAAUCCUCAAUAUUCAAGAUCUCGAGAGACGAAUUGGUGUCGCACCUCCAUGCCUCUGGUAACGAUUUCAGUGCGUGACAUUCUCUAAUCUUAACUUUCUUCAACUUGGAAGGCAGAGCAACCUCAGGAAAGGAAACAAGGGAACUGCACUUGUAGAUUGCUAUCUCUCUCAAGGAACUGAGGCUGAACGAUGAUUGUGGCAGCUUCACAAGGCUUUCGCAAUCACUCAAUUCUAGAUAUUCAAGUCUGCAUGACAACUCGCAGAGCUGCUGUUGUUGGUCUUUCUCUUCCUCCGCGACCAAGGAUUGAAGUUUGGGACAGCUUGUAAUCAGCAGUCUUUUGAGAGAGCAAAUGUCUUGCAGUAAUUCGUUAUGACUCUUCCAUAUAUAUGUUUCAUUUUUAAUAUUUUUUAUCUCCAAUUCUUCCAGUUUUGGUAUUCGCGGCUUCAAUGGCCCUGCGAGAAACACUUGAUUUGAUGUAUCUCUACAAACCACUGAAUUCUGUGAGCCGAGAUGAUCAGUUGCACUACUCCACACAAUCUUUUUACAUCCACCAAUUUCAAAUUUGCAAAGAGCUGGAAGACUUGCAACUGAAACUAGCAAUUCUUCACAUCCUUCAAUUACAAGCAUCUCCAAUGCAGGAAGGUGUUCUGGAAAUGUUCCUUGCAGCUUAGAACAGCUUAUAAUAUGAAGCUCUCUCAAUUUAGGAAACCCUUCAACUCCCUGACCAGAUCUAAGAGGAAUCCAGUCUUCCCAUUCUUGCAUGUCUUGAAAACGAAGAGUCUCCAAGCAUGGAAAAGGAAUCGGGGAAUCAUUCCCAUAGAACUCUGAACCCAAACUCUUUACUCUACUCAUUCCACGCACUUCAAGAUGCUUUAAAGAGGGUAGUUGCCCGACUGACGGCAGGGCAGUACACAUGCCGCAAUCUUCAAAUUUAAGUGUUACUAAAUUUGAGAAUGAGGAAUCUCCUAACCAUGUUGGAAAUUUUGUACCUCCAUAGCCACAGAUACCAAAUUGUUCCAGAUUUUUAUGGGGUUUGAGCAUGUCAAGCACACCCAUUUCAGUUUCUGCCUCCCUUGAAGAUGAACCAUCGGUACUGCGUGUCCAUCGAAGCAAUAAUUCUCUAAGAUUCUCCUUUACAUCCAAUUGAGCCUCCUUCGCAUUACCAACGUCUUUUACGUUCUCCAAUUUUGAAAUUUCAAGUGGCCCACGAAGAUGCAUCAAUAACUUUAGCUCUGAUAACCCCGAACCACUGUCUUUUCCCACAACAAAAUUACACAACGUCUGAAGACUAGUCAAUCUACCAAUUCCUACUGGCAUUUCCUCCAACGACUUCGUAUUUGAAUUCUUAAGAUGAUGCAAUUUGGUGAGGUUUCCCAUGUCUGCACACAACUUCUUCAGCCGAUCACAAUCUUCCAAGAAAAGACUAUGCAAAUUGUAAAGCUUGUUGACUGAUUCAGGCAGAGUUCUAAUCAUAGUUCCAGAUAGGUUGAGGUAUCUUAAAUACCUCAAAUCACCAAUUGAAUCCGUUAGCUCAUACAUGCAAUAUCCACGCAAAGAGAAGACCCUCAACCGUUGGAGUUUGAACAACUUGGGGAGAAUGCUACGAGCCAAGUAUCCAUGCCACCUAUUUGACAAUGCUACUGGUAAAAAAGUUCGCAAAUGGUGGAUAUCAUGCAAGUCCUCAAACCUUUGAACGCCAUCACAAUAUCCACGAAUGUAUGACAGGUGACGAAAAUUUUUGGAAAAACUUUGUUGCUUGUUAACCUCUGAGUUAUACUCCAUUGUGAAGUAUAUCUCCCCCGCAGCCCAUUGAGCAAGGUCGUUGACAAGGUCGUGCAUCACAAAUCGUGAUUUAUUGUUGCUUGAUUGCUGGAAAAAAGAUCUUGAACGUAGCUCUUGAAAGAACUUUCGACCUAGAUCUUCAUUAGGAUUCCCACUCUCUUUGUGAUCCAAGAAACCCGAGGCACACCAUAAUAAAAUUAUCUCCUCCUCUUCAAAUUCAUAAUCCUUUGGAAACAAUGAGCAGUAUGCAAAGCAUUGUUUCAAAGGUGCCGAAAGAUAAUAGUAGCUCACUGCAAGGGCUGGUAUAAUACCACAUCUCUCUUCUGGUAAUUCCCAUAUCUUGCUACUGAGCACAUCUUCCCACUCACUUCUGUCAUGAUUCCCACGUAAAAGUCCUCCAAGUGUUUGUGCUGCCAAGGGCAAGCCAUCGCAUUUGGUCACUAUCUUCUUGCCGAUUUCCUCCAGUGACUUAUGUGAACUGAAAUCUCUCGUCCCCAAUGAAUGUUGAACGAAUACAGCUAGACAAUCAUUAUCUGACAACUUCUUUAAUUGAUAAGCCGGAACAGUACCCAUAAUUUUAGCAACCUCUUGAUUGCGAGUAGUGACAAUAAUUUUACUUCCCGGUGCGCCAAGUUCAAAGGGACGUCUGAGUUGAUCCCAAUCAUCGUAAUUCCGGUUCCACACGUCAUCUAAAAGAAGCAAAAACUUCUUUCCAGAUAGUUGCUUAUUCAGUUUCUCUUGAAGUGAAUUCAAGUUGAGAUUAUCUACGUUCUGGUCAGCAACAAUGGAUGUUAAGAUUGUUUUUGUUAGCCUGAUAACGUCGAAAUCAUCAGAGACACAAGUCCAUGCCUUGAGAUCAAAAUGAUCCACCACUUGCUUAUCAUUGUAGACAAGCUGAGCAAGAGUGGUUUUGCCCAGCCCACCCAUACCUACAAUAGGUAUAACGGAGAAUCCACCAUCGUUGCUUAAAUCAUCCCUCAACAGCAGUUCAACAACAUCCUUCUUUUCGAUUUCCCUGCCAUAUACUUUGGCUUCCUUCACCAAAGAGGUUGUCUCUCGCCUUUUCCUGUCUUUUGUGGUCCUCCCACCCGAACUUACAUUCAAACCCAGCGAGUCCUUCUGUGUUACAAUAUCUUGAAAUCUGCCAUUGAUCUCUUUGAUUUUGGACAUCAUGGCGUAAUCGAACUGAAUCGAUUGUGGAGUAAAAGUGGUGCAGCAAGUAGGAAUGAGCUUCCGAAACUUACUUGUUCUUGUACGACUGCUACUGGGUUGAUCAUGAGCCGCAGCUGGAUCUCCAUUUCCAAGCAGCAACUUCCUCCGGAAAGCCUCAGUUUGAAACUCAUCCAGCAAGUCUUCAACAUCAAAAGCCAAGUUCUGAAGCUCGCCAAGCCACAACUUUACAGACUGAUCAGUCUUCUUCUCCUCAGCAUCGGCAAGCACCGCCUUGAUUAUCACCAACAUAUUCUUCCACUUCUUUAGAUCGGCUUGGAUUUGCUCUUGGCGUGCAAACAGCCGAAUCCCCUCCGAAGCUAACUUAUUGACCAGCAAAUCAACGGACGCCGUAAGGAUUGCCUCUCCGAUGAAUGACAUUUUUUUCUUCUUUUUCUUUUUUUUUGGUUUUGCAAAGAAAGAAAGGAGCAGAAUUAUGGGUUAUGGAAAGCAGAAUGAGAAAAUGGAUAAUUAAGCAGAAUGAGUUUGUGAUUGUGAAGGGUCUGGCCCAGCAAGCUUAGUAGAAAUCACGCGUUUAUACUUUAUUGACCAAUGACUAAUAAUUUGGCAAUUCACUCAUCACCACCACUUGGUAAGCAAAAUGAAAAUGCUUAGUAAUUAAGUGUCAAGGGUCAAGCAAAAUACGACGUAAAAUGUGUCAAGGGUCUCUCCACUACUUGUUCCUUGCAGCUUAGAAAAGAAAAACAGAGCCCACCACCCAUUAAUAAUUUAGCAAUUCACCAAUCAUCACCACUUGUUACGAAACCAUCUCAUAAACCAAGUUCGUAGGUCGAGCAGUUAAUCCAGUGUCUAUGUCCUAGAACCUUCAUCUCAUAAACCAAGUUCAAUCAAAACGUUCCUCUCUAUAUUUUUUUUUUUUCAAAACUCCUAAAACGUUUCUUUUUAGAGACAUUUUACUUUAUUCAUCUCAUAUGUUAUCUAGCAAAUAGACACAAUUGAAAUCACUCUAAAGUGAAGAUGAAAGGGGAAACAAAUAACCUUCCGACCACCAGUAAUUUAGCAAGCUUCACUUUAUUCCACCAAAGUGUAAAUAAAGCCAGCCCCCACCACCAUCAAUAAUUUUGCAAGCUUCACACGCUUGUUGUCUUCUCCUUGACGAACUGGACAUGAGUGCACCAAGAAUCAAUGACAGAAUUUUAAAAAUAAUAAUAAGAGAAAAACCUACAAAUUUUCGACUUAGAGUAGAACCUUAAUUAAUGCUAAAAUCUACUCAGCUAACAUUUUCAAAAUAUUGUUCUUUAUGAUUUCCAAAACCGUGAUUAAGGUUCAUCUCAAAUGUUUGAAGAGAGUCUAUCAGUUCUUCUACGUUAAGAAUAUCAAAAUUCUUGCUUUUUCUUCAAAUGUUGAAUAAUAAAAAAAAAAAGUUGAAUAUGGAGGAAAAUAGAAUGCAUCCAUCUUCGCUGCUGUAGAAGUCUUCUACUUAUAAAAGUAAGUUAGAAUAAACAAUUUUAAUCUCUCUUUUUAUUCCUACAAGUGCACUACAUUUUUUUUUUAAUCUCAAUGCAAAGUCGUAUCGAAAUGUUAUAUUCCUAUUGUAAAACAAAAUUUUAGAUAAAACAAAUUCGACUCAUUUUUUAAAGAUAUAUAUUUAGUAGGUUACCAACAUAACUAACAAAACGUGAUUAUUACACUAAAUGAAAUAAAUGACAGUACUAUCACCAAUAAUUUAGCAAGUUUCGCAUGCAUGUGUUUCUAAAAACAUUAUAUGGAAUCAAACAACAGUGAUACAAAGAGAAAAGUAGAAAUCCUCUGAUUAUAUUUUUUUUUUCUUUUUCAAAAGAAAUGGUGGGGUUGGUUUGUUUGCAAAGUUAUUAGCGAGGGUCUAUUUGUUUUUGUUUUAACUUUAUUAAUCAAUAAGCAAACAUGUAAUGAUUUGUAUAUAUCACUAGCAUCACAUUAUUGGGAGGUAUUGCGCUUAAUAUUCACAAUUUUUGUAAGAUGAAUUUGUAAGACUAAUUAAUUUUGAUGAAAAUGUAUCGUUACUAAGAUAUUAUUUAAUUCAUUAAGUUAACUUGAGGUAUUAAUAUUUACUAAUUGUGGUGCUGAUUAAUUUAUUUAACUUGUCACUAUUUGCAAUUAAGAAUGAAGUUCAAUCAAUUUAUUGAGUAAAAAAAAAACAAAGAUGCAUUUUUUUCUUUAGAUUUUAAUUCUUAGGAUUUGAUUUCACGCUCUUUUGUUUUUUUACGUUGCUAAAGAGGCAGUAAAAAGUUUGCUGAAUGUCAUCAAAUACUUGUAUCUCAUCUCACAAAUUGGUAAUAUUUGUUUGGUAUUUCAUCUCAACAGACGCAGUAAGGAUUACCUCUCCAAUGACUGACAUUUUUUUUUUUUUUUUGGGGACAAAGAAAGAAACAGAAUUUUGAGUUUCGAAAAGCAAAAUAAGAAAAUUGAGCAGUAAGUGUGAAGGGUCAAGCAAAAUGCAUGUAGCAAGUCUUCGACUUGUUGUUUAUCCCACUAAAGUGAAAAUAAAAACAGAGCCCACGACCCCUUAAUAAUUGAGCAAUUCACCAAUUACGAGUCACCACCACUCGUUACCAUGAAUAUAAUAAAUUGCACCUUGAUAUUUGCAGGGUCCAGCAACAUUGACCUAGUGUCCGGGUAAAUGCUGAAUAAAGAGGAAAAUGGAAUGUAUCCACUCCGAACCUUCGCUUUACAACAAUUUUUAAGAAUCACAAUGGUAAUUCCUACUAUCAUGUUAUCUUAAUGUCGUGUUAAAAUAAAUUAUAAUAUAUUUUUUAUAUGAACACUCUUUUCAUUUAUAAAUUUUUAAGUUUCUAAUAUUUUUCUCAUUUUUUUAAUCUUAAUAUUUAUAUUCCUCUCUUCAAAUUUUUUUAUUAUUUAAUUUUUAAAGAAAAAUAUGAAAAAAAUAAGAAAAACAUUAUACUUAGAAAAUAAUUAAUAUUUUAUGGGUCUAAUGCAAUUUUGUCUCACCUAUAAAUUUUUUUGUUUAGCAAUUAGUUUGAGAAUCUUAAAAAAUUAUUUGCAGUAGGAUAAAAUUUAAUUUAAUUUAUUUUUUUACUGUAUUGUAUCUUAAUUAAUUAAGUUGUUAUGUUUAUUACAAGAAUUUUGUUUUGGCUUAGAGGAUUGCUUCUUAAAUUCAUAUUAUUUUAAUGAUAAUAAAAGAUAUUUAUAUUGUGCAAGCAAAAUAAAAUGAAGAGAGAAAGAAAAUAUAAAUGACUUAAUUCUAUUUAUAUUUGUCCUCAAAUGUAAUUGUAGUAUAAUAGGAGUUUUAUAAGAUUAAUGAAGGGGUGCCAAUAGUCGUACUCUUAUAGAAAAUGACUGUAAUAAUAGUGGAAAUUUAGUGUAAUAAAAAGGAUAAACCGUAAGAAAUUAAUGUUUACUUCAAGAUACGUUAUAAUUAUUGUUUUUCUUAAGAUGUUAUUUGCCUCCACCAAUCGAAUGAUGCACAUGAAUUAAGCAAAAAUGCCUCCAUGAUACAAUAAAAUGCUUAUUUAUUUGUUUACGUUAUAUGUCGACGAAGCAAACUUGAAUACUUUUUAAUGUUGUAAGCGUGCCAAAAAUCAAUAUAUUAUUUCUACAAAAAGAAACAAUAUAUUAGAUAUUUAAAGUAGAAAAAAUAGAUGUUGAUUGAUGAAAUUUUAUUUAGGAAAGACAGCUAAGAAAAGAAUGGUGUAACGCCAUUUUAUUCAUGUCUAAAUAGCCUAAAUAUGACCUCUAUUUAUAUAUACACUUAUGCCCUAUUAUUUGGAUUGUCGUUCUUUUAUAAUACUCGUUCAUUCAUGGUCAUUAGCUCAAACAAUCGAAUUCCUACUAUAGCUAAUUAACUUAUUGACCAGCAACUUAAAGGAUGCCAUAAGGAUUGCCUCUUUGAUUAUUGACGUUUUUUUUCUCUCUUUUUUGGUUUUUUUUUGGGUUUUGGGGGGGGGGGGGGGGGGGGGGGGGGGGGGUUAUGGAAAUUAAAGCAUAUAAGAAAGUCAAUUACAGCGGAAUGAGUUUGUGAUUGUGAAAUGUCGAGCAAGUCUAGAAACUAAUUAGGCAAAACCCACCACGAAAGCUAAAAAGGAAAAAUAGCGCCCACCACAAAUAUAAAAUUGGAGGAGAUCAGGAUCAUUCCUUUGCUUUACAUAUUAAAUUAAAUAAAGGAAAAUGAUAAACGAACUCAAUGAAGACAAAACGACGAUAAAAAUGUAACUUUAAAUUGCCGAUUCACGCGUUAGAUUUUUCUACUUUUAAACUUGCGUGGACCCACAAGAAAUAAAAAAAAAUGAAAAAAUGAUGGUCAUUUCUGGUAACUCUCCAAAAAAUAAUAAAAUAAAGAAAAAAGGAAUGAAAAGCUGGUCAUUUCUCCCCCUCACUUCGGCCAUUAUCAUCCUUGUUUCGCUGGUGAAACGCUCUCGAAAAAUUUGUAGACAAAUCAGAGUAAAGGGAAACAACUUUGGAAAUGUUUCUCACGCUCUCAACUACAGCAAGCAGUGAAUUGCAUCAGAUAUUAGUGAAGAAUAAUUGCCAACCGUAAACUCAGCUCCUUCAGUUGCUAGUGUAUACCAAUAGAGCAAUAGGUUGUGUUUGGGGAUGUUAGAUGUAGAAAUAAUUGAGGCAAAAUUCUUUUAUGCAAUUGUUGGCUUGUGUCGACUUUUUGAAAGGAAACUUAUUUUUGGGCUGUCAAUGUUACUUAUUUGUUAGUUUAUUUCUUAGGUUUUGUUGUUUGGGAUAUUAUGUAUUGGAUUUCAUUUCCUUUUGCCUCUGGUAUGGCCCCUAAUAGAACUUGAUGUUAUUCUUUUUGGGAUAUGUUUUUCUGAAUUAGAGAUGACAUCAUUAGCAUCUGGUCUUUCUCUUUGAGACAGCCGAGAGAGUGAGGUGCCGUGAGAGAUGCAAUCGAUGGGGGAGAGAGAGAGAGGGAGCCGACAGUGAGAGCUCAGAUGCUGAAUGGAGUGAAGCGACAGACAAAGGGACCCACGUUUCUGUCGUCCUUUGUCGUCGCAGAGUUCAAAUAGCAGAACUCUUAAAUAAAAGCCAAACUAAGAACCUUGCCUUUGCUCAACAUGAUUAAUUAGGCACUACUUUAGAAAAAACACGAAAGUAAUAAAUCUUGUAUUAAUCUUAAAUUUUAGGACUAAAGCUACAUUUUUUUUUUUUUUUGUUUUGCAAAGAAAGAAACAGAAUUUUGAGUUUUGAAAGCAAAAUGAGAAAAUUGAACAGUAAGUGUGGAGGGUCAAGCCAAAUGCGCGUAACAGGUCUUCCGCUUGCUGUCUAUUCCAGUACAGAGCCCACCACCCAUUAAUAAUUGAGCAAUUCACCAAUCACCAAUCUGGCAGUCACCACCCCUCGUUACCAUGAAUAUAAUGAAUUGCACCUUGAUAUUUGCAGGGUCCAUCAACAUUGACCCGGUGUCUGGGUUAAUGCUGAAAAAUAUGAAAAAAAGAAAAAAAAAUAUUAUACUUAGAAAAUAAUUAAUAUUUUAUGGGUCUAAUGUAAUUUUGUCUCACCUAUAAAUUUUUUUAUUUAGCAAUUAGUUUGAGAAUCUUAAAAAAUUAUUUGCAGUAGGAUAAAAUUUUAUUUAAUUUAUUUUUUUACUGUAUUGUAUCUUAAUUAAUUAAGUUGUUAUGUUUAUUACAAGAAUUUUGUUUUGGCUUAGAGGAUUGCUUCUUAAAUUCAUAUUAUUUUAAUGAUAAUAAAAGAUAUUUAUAUUGUGCAAGCAAAAUAAAAUGAAGAGAGAAAGAAAAUAUAAAUGACUUAAUUCUAUUUAUAUUUGUCCUCAAAUGUAAUUGUAGUAUAAUAGGAGUUUUAUAAGAUUAAUGAAGGGGUGCCAAUAGUCGUACUCUUAUAGAAAAUGACUGUAAUAAUAGUGGAAAUUUAGUGUAAUAAAAAGGAUAAACCGUAAGAAAUUAAUGUUUACUUCAAGAUACGUUAUAAAUAUUGUUUUUCUUAAGAUGUUAUUUGCCUCCACCAAUCGAAUGAUGCACAUGAAUUAAGCAAAUAUGCUUCCAUGAUACAAUAAAGUGCUUAUUUAUUUGUUUACGUUGUAUGUCGACGAAGCAAACUUAAAUACUUUUGAAUGUUGUAAACCUACCAAGAAUCAAUAUAUUAUUUCUACAAAAAGAAACAAUAUAUUAGAUAUUUAAAGCAUAAAAAAUAGAUGUUAAUUGAUUAAAUUUGAUUUAGGAAAGACAGCUAAGAAAAGAGUGGUGUAACGUCAUUUUAUUAAUGUUUAAAUAGUCUAAAUAUGACCUCUAUUUGUACAUACACUUAUACCCUAUUAUUUGGAUUAUAUUUUUUUUAUAAUACUCAUGCAUUCAUGGUUAUUAGAUCAAACAAUUAAAUCCCUACUAUAGCUACUUAACUUAUUGACCAGCAACUUAAAGGAUGCCAUAAGGAUUGCCUCUCAGAUGAUUGACAUUUUUUUUUCACUUUUUUUAUAGUUUUUUUUGGUGUGUUUGGGGGAGGGGGGGGGGGGAGUUUAUGAAAAUUAAAGCAAAUAAGAAAGUCAAUUACAGCAGAAUGAGUUUGUGAUUGUGAAAGGUCGAGCAAGUCUACAAAUCAAUUAGACAAAACCCACCACGAGAGUUAAAAUGGAAAAAUAGCGCCCACCACAAAUAUAAAAUUGGAGGAGCUCAAGAUCCUGCCUUUGCUUUACAUAUAAAAGCCAAACCAAUAACCUUGCCUUUGCUUAACAUGAUUAAUUAAGCACUACUUCAGAAAGAAUACAAAAGUAAUGAACCUUGUAUUAAUCUUAAAUUUUAGGAAUAAAGCUACAUUUUCUCCUCUUACCAUCUUUUCAUGUUCAUUUCAAAAGUUUGAAGAGAGUUUAUCCAUUCUUCUUCUAAACUAAGAAAAUCAACAUUCUUACUUUCUUCAAAUGUUGAAUAAAGAAAAAUAAAUUAUUGAAUAAGGAGGAAAUUAGAAUGUAUUUACCUUCGCUAACCUAAAAUAAAAAAAAAAUUAAUCUCUCUUUUAUUACUAAAGUACACUAUUUUUUUAAUAAUUGUAUUGAUAAUGACAAUAUAUAUCAUCGAUUAUAUUCUUGUUGUGUUGAAAUAAGGUAUAAAAAAUUUUGGAUCAAGAGGAAUUCGACUCAUUUGUUAAAGGUACAUAUUUAAUAUACUAAAAACAAAAAUUAACAUAAACAUGAUUAUUACACUAAAGUGAAAUGAAAGCCAGUACCCGCCGGUUCACCAACAGUAAUUUAGCAAACUUUGCAUUCUAGGAAAUGGACAUUGGUGAAUUAACCAAAGAAGACUUCCUUUGAUAAUGCGGGUAACGCCGGUCUGUCAUGGAAUGGACAUUGGUGAAUUCACCAAUGUCCAUUUCAAAGAAGACUUCCUUUGAAAUGGACAUUGGUGAAUUCGACUUCCUUUGACGUUUAGUUGACUAUUUUCACAUCUAGCAGCCCUUGGCGUUUUGUUUUCGUUCGCUCUGUCGUCUUCAUCGCUCUGUCGUCUUCGAUCUUUAUGGCGACAUGGGUAUAUGUGUAUGGUAAACUGUGCGGGUGAAGAGUGUCGACAUGAUGCUGUCACCUUGCUUUAAUUAAUUGCAGUGACGUUAUAAAGUAAGCCUCAAAAAUUUAAAAUCGUGGGUCAAGCCCUGGUGUACAAAUCAGAAGUUGUAACAAAGAAGAAUUUAAAUUUUUUCUUCUUUCUUUCAUGCAUUAGGCUCGUUAACAAUUCAACAUACCAGGGAUGAGGGAUGCAAGGAAACAAUUAUUUGGUUUGAGUGUUUGGUAUUUUCUCGAUUCAUUCAGAAUUUGAUGAGUUUUUCUGUUUAAAUUGUGCGUAUAAUUUUUAUUUUUAAUUUUCUGACGUCGAUAUCUUUAGCAUAGAUUUUGUCUAUGAUACAUUAAAAAAGUUUGAAUCGCACAUGAUUCACUGUGUUGUAAGAGUAAAAUUUCUUCUUAUUAUUUAGAAUUCAUAUUUUUCAACUAAACUUUUAAUACAAUAUAUCGAGACAGAUCCUCGUGAUGCACAUACAUUUUCGCUUUUAGCCGUGCUGCCUGCUCUCAAAUGUACACUUAUAAAUUCCAAAUGAAAAGAAAUUUUGAAAUUGCGCAGCUCUGGCCAGGGAUCACCUUUUUUCCUUGCUAUUAUCUACAAUAUUUAUUUUUGCAAUCCGCAUGCAUGCUCGGUUAUGAUCACCCACGUGAUCGGCAUUAAGUUUUUUUUUAUCUUCUUAUUAACAAAUUAUUUAGUGUGCGGACUCCAUUCAUGCUCCCACGUUAAUCUUUCCAAAUUUUGUGCAAUAAAAGUUCAGCCGAUCCGCUAUUCACUUUGCCACAGUCUGCUACUUCAUUCUAUUUGUUUACUGCAUAUGAAUCAUUAAUCAUAUGAAACCAGAAGCAAGACCUCGCAAAAGCAACUUAAUUACUUCGUGAGUUUUAAUUUGGGAAUUGGAGGUUUCUUCUGAUUUGAACAAUAUGGAAACUACCUGUGCAAGUUUUUUUUUUUUUGGGCGAAUUUCAGUUCAAUAUCAUUUAUAAUUCUUAUUUCAAUAUAUUUAGAAAUAAGUUUAAUAAUAUUAAAUUUUCACUUAAGAAUGACCGGUGGGAGGGUCAAGCAGAUAUGCCUGAUUUGGGUGUUGGAAUAUUUAUAGUGGUCCAUGUGCCACAUUAUUGAAUUAGUAAUAAUUUAGAAUUUAAAUGAUAAAAUAAAUAAUGGGCCAAAAUCUUAUUGGUCAAUUGGGAAAAUCUAACGGCCCACUUUAAUGGAAAGUGGAAAUAAGAGUUUUAUUGAAAUUGAUUUUCUCUCUCUCUAUAUAUAUAUAUCACGUUAAUUUUCGCUCCAUCAAGAAAACGAAUCACUCUAAAGGGGUCAAGAGAUAAAAAUUAAUUUUACUAAUAUUUAAUUUUUUACAGUGAGAUUUAAUCAAGAAGAUUGUUAUGGAUCAAGAUAUGUUUUCUCUCAAUUAUGAUGAUGUGAAAAUCAUGAUAUUUUAUGAUCUUAGGGAUUGAAGUUUAUGUAAAUUAGGGUUUAUUUGCUUUACAAGAGGUGUACAAAUUCUCAACAACUGGUAGCAGAGCAUGGUUUAAGAAUUUAUGAUUUUCUAUUAAGAUCUGUAAUAACCCUUUCUUAAUUUUCAAUUGUCCUUAUGAGUAUAUGUCAAUUUGGAUUAUUAUUCCACAUAUACAUAAUGUAUAAAGAAAAGAGUAAUGAUACUGCCACAAACUCUUGUACAAAUUUAUUUUGUACAAACUGACGUGUCAUUAAUUCACUGGUUGAAUGAAAAUAUAAAUUAAUAAAAACAAAUUAUAUGGGCUAAGUGAUAUUUAAUUCAACCAAUCUUAUCAUGCCUCAUCAAUUUGUACAAAAUAAGUUUAUAUAAGAGUUUGUGACUGUAUCAUUACUCUAAAGAAAAUUAUUGGCAUAGAAAUUUUUUGCACAAAAAAAAAAAUCCAAGAUGUUUUUGACUGUUGGCGGCACAAUACAUAAAGGUGAAAUUAGGUUAUCUUUUGGAUUUUUUCAUGAGACACCCUAAGGUUUGUUUAGUUUAUGCUUUUGGCCAAAGUUUAUAAUUUUGUUUCAUUUAAGUCCAAUUGAAUUUGCAACGGCCAUCACAUGCUGUCUUCAAGCCGAAAUUUAGGAGCAAUUGCAUGUGAAAUUGCAGUGUAGUCCCUGGUAUUCUAUUUUAUUAAAUUAAAGAUAUGAUUAAUUGGAUUUAGUAUGAUAAAGCCGCCGACUUUAUGUGCAUCAAGCCUUAUAAGUUUUGUUCUCGUAAUUUUGAAGCCUCCGCUCAUUAAUUAAUGAUCUCCAAAAUUUCUUAAUGUUCCAAUUUUAAUGUUUGAAAUUUGAAUUGAUGUUUGUGGUUUUAUUUACUUUAUUAAAGAAAUUACUUUGUUAUAAAUGUUCAAUUUGACAUUCAUAUUAUGAUAAUUUGUUAGUUACUAAAGUAGCCAAAUUAGAAAGUUUUCAUAGAUGUCAAAUUAAAUUCAAUUUCAAGUUCUCAUAAUUAUUGUGAUGCGUAUUAUUUAAUGACAUGAUGAUCUUGUUGUAUGAGUAUAUUGAAAUUCACAGAUUAUAAAAUAUUUAGGAAUUGCUCAAAGGUUGAUUAAUUAAUUUUAUAAUAUAUGAUCAUGAUUUGUGGAUAAUUAAUAUGCUUGAUUAGAUAUGUUUAGUAUAUCCAAAGAUAGCAAGCGUGUCUAGUUUAUGUAUAGUUGAUUACUAAUUAUGUGAAAUUAAAGUUAAGCAUCAAUUAUGUUUAUUGCAGUGUAUUGUUGUAUCACCAAAUAAAUUAAGCUUCUUAAUUUUAUGUCAGUAAGUAUUAAUAAAUUAAUAUAGGUAACAUUAAAUAAUUUAAAUUAGCUGUAGAAAAUUUUAAAAUAUUUUAUUCAUAAUAAAAAAUUAGCGAUAUUAUAUCAUGAAUUAAUUAAUAUGUAAAUUAUUUAUUUAUCAAAAUCAUUUUCAUUUAAUUAAAUAUUAAUUGAGGUUUAAUUAUUAGUUAUCAAUAAAAAUUAACAUGGUAUUGUCUUUUUUAUGGUCCUGGCCCCCAUCUCCAAAUUAGAAGCAAUUCUCAAACCCGCCCCAUACCUAAAAGUUCACAUUUGGGGAGCAUCCCCAAUUUUGUGUAUGUAUAUAUGAUUUGGUGAGUUACAAGAAGCAUUACCAGCAAAAGCACAGAAAUGGUUUCGUUUCAGAAGCAAAUAUGAUGCUAAGGAAAGUUUCGUCUUCAGCAUAAUAACUAUAUAAUAUCAUAAUGAAUUGGUGUGCAUUAACCAUGCUCCAGGUUGAUUUGGAAAGUCAUGAUGCUGUUUCCAUUUCAAUUUAGACUCCUUGCUUAUCAGCCAAAUGAUUUAUAAGUAAUAGCCAGUAGAAGUUUUUCUCAAAAUGGAAAUAAGUUGUCUUACUGGGAGAGUCCACAUAUGGUAUCUAAUUUGUGGUGUUAUUAUUUCAAUUGUAAGUUCCCUAAUUCUGGCCAAUGUACAGAUUCAGAAAAUUAUAUUUGGUGAGUUUUUUUUUUUUUUUUUUUUUUUUUAAAGGUUUUGGAUACAACGGCAAGAGAUAGGGAAAAACAACAAAGGGAGAGUCAAAACUCCACAUUAAGCUAACAUUUGAAUUUCCAUUUAUACUUUGCUCCACUCAUUCUAAUGUUUACUGGCUAAUUGUAGUUUAUGGUGUAGCAUCCAAAAAAGAUGACUCGUAGAAUUUAUUCUUUCGGACCACUAAGUAGCUUAAACACACACACACACAAACACAUGUACAUAUGAACGUGUGUGUAUGUAUAUGUAUAUAUAUAUGUAGGUGUGUAUAUAUAGUCCUUCCCUAAUAUAGACAUCUCUUUUUCUUUUUUUUUUUUUCUACAUAGACACACUAUCACUAGUAGAAAAAUAGCCUUCUAUGAUACUAUUUUGGCAUCAACAGCUUAUUUUACUAACACCGAGUCUAGUGUCACUAAUCACGAUGCAAGAAAUUUACUGACACAAAUUUUUUGUGUCAACAAUUCUGUGUUACCUUAGAAUCAAAGAAAUGCUGAUUCCAUAGUAUCAAAAUAAUUGCAAUUCUAUACAAUCAUGUAGAUAGUGAUUCUAUGGUAUGAAGCAAGUUUUGAUGCUCUAAUGUCAUUUAUGUUCUGAUUCAAUAAUAUUGGUAUUUACCAAUGCUAUAUUGGUGUCAACAGUUUUAAAAGUAUUUAAAAAAAAAUGAAAUGGUCAUUAUUACAAUUGUCAAUAAACUGGAAUCAAAACUUAAUAAUCAACAUUUUUGAAUAAUGAUUAUGAAACAAAUGUUGGUAUCAAAAUCCAAUAAACUCCAUUUAACAAUUGCCAAUAGGCUCCAUUCAGUAUUCAAUAUUCAACAUUCAACAUUGAAUAACCAAAUUGGUUCUAUCCAAUAUUCAGUAACCAAAUUCAUCAACCACAGUUUCAAUAGCACAACAAUGCUAAAAACCACAGCUAGUUUCUAAUCUAAAAAAACUACAACUUAUUUGUCAUUACGGCAACCUGAGUGGCAGUACUAAACAAUAAAGGCAAAUGGAAUUGGUGUGCUACCGCUAUCAUUCUCCAUGAUCUUCAAUGGCCUGAAUAAUAGUACCAACAAGAAGCAACGACAAUACUCAAUUCCAACAAAAUCCACCCAACAAAGGAAAAUGGUUCAUCAAAUUUUGAAAAUAGAGAGAGCUUUUGGUGCUCUAUUUCAUAACUUUUAUUUAAUCAAAGGAAAAUGCUUAACAUCUCGAAAGCUGAGAGAAGACUGAGAGAAACGGCAGCAUGUGCUGCCGUUUUGCCUCUCUCCUCUCAGCCUGAUAAUAACUUUUUAUUAUUAAAAAUUAAAAAAAAAUAGCAUUAUGGGGAUAAACAAAAAUUUAAUCAUUCGGGACAAACAAAAGCAAGCAGUCCACGUGCUUUCUGUUUGUCUCACUCUUCUUUUUGUUUUUUUUAAUUAAAAAUAUAUAAAAGGGGAAGAAUUAUUAUAACUUGCAUCUCUCUCACCUACCUCCUUAACUCUCCACAUUAAGGACCUCAGUCACUCGACUCUAUCUGACUUUCUCUCCUCUAAUAACCAGUAAUUUUCACAACAAUUUUCAUACAAUUAAUAUUCCAAACCAAAAAUUCAUCUUUAUCAUCAAAUAAUUACCACCAAAAUUUACAAAACUAAUCCAAGAAUGCACAGGAAAAAAAUUCAUUUUCUUUCACUGAUCAUCUUCUGUAUUUGGUAGCCGGAGAGUUCUGUAUUUGGUGGCCUGAGAGAGUGAAGAAGCGGUGAGGGGUAGUGACGAUUCGGAGAUGAGGAUAGAGCCGAGGAUGAGUAAAGAAGUGAGGUAGGAUGAGUUUGAGCUGUGCAAUAGUCAUGAGUGAGGGAGGAUCGAUAUCUCUCUAGAUCCACUCACACUGAGAGAUCACUAGCUAAGAGAAGAAGAGAGCACUAGCAGAUGCAGUAGUGAGAGAGAAAGGGAGUGGUGAUGGCACGAGAACUGAGAGAGAGAGAGAGAGAGUGUGAUGUUUUUGUCCCCAUCGAGCUUUUUUUUAAUAAUAAAAAAGUAUUUUAUGGCUGAGAGGAAGGAGAGAGGCGAAACGGCAGCACAAGCUGCCGUUUCUCUCACUCUUCUCUCAGCUUUCUAGAUGUUUAGCACUCCUCUUAAUCAAAACAUCUUGGUUUGGGUACGAGGCUGACAAGGUCUCCGAAUCCAAAAUUUUGUUGGAUGUUGGGCCUAUCCUCGAAAUAGUUUCGAUUCUGUUUUUGUGGAUAAUAGCAAGAUAAAAAUUGUGGUGGAUACAGUACAUAACGCGAAACAAAUAAGAUUACAAUUAAAUUAAACGCAAGAAAUUACUUUUCUAGCAAAAGCUUAAUCCAACCCCUCCAUUACUUCUUUUUUAUGGAUAUAUAUUCUUUAAUUAUUUUUUGUUAUUUUACUUCCUGCUCAUCAAGUUUGUGAUGUUUACAACAAUUAUUCAUUUGAAAAGUUAUCCAAUGAUGUCAAGACGUGAAAAUUGAGAAUAUGUAUAGCGAAAAAAGUUUUCUUCCUCCUCCCUUAUUGAUUCAAAUUAAAAAAAAAUUUAACGGAUUUAAUGUGGUUUAAAAGUUCAAUUUUAUAUAACAUUUUAAUGACAUAAAUGGAACAGAUCAAUCACAUAAUCGAACAUAAUGAUAAGAAUCUUCUUGCUAUAUGUGCAAGUUGAAUUAUAUAAUCUUGAUUUUGGAAAAUGUGACCAGAACUGCAAAAAUGAAGAUUAAUUAACCUUGGAUGACAAUGAUUAAUACCCGUCCAUUUCUCCUAAGCUCUGUUUCUUACUUUGAUGCGCACAUGACUUGAAAGCUUCAUCUUCCGCUAACUCCCUUUCGUGAAACGUACUAACAAAUAACAGUAGCCUACUAACAAAUUAAGAAAUAAUCCAAUAUCUUUAGUACAAAUCCAAAUAGUCUCAUUUUGAUUUUGAGCUAGCUUUUUAAUUCCACACUCAGAGACAAAAUUUUGUGAAUUCACAUUAUUUAACAAAAUAAUUAACAAAUUAAUUGUGAUUAUGGUUGACGAUCAUGUUGAUAAGCAUCAUAUACACUAUCGUUGCAUAUUUAGUGAAAUGAUGCAAGGACGAAGUAUCACUUGGCUGUAAGAAUUAGUUACCCAACAAAUUGUGGAGUUUGUUUUAGAUAAAAUAAAUAAAUAAAUAAAUAAUAGAGAGCAUAGUUAAGCCGACAUGGAUAGACUAACUUAAACAAUAUAUUGCACACAAUGAUUAUUUUUAUUAACUUCCUUUUUUAAGAAGACACUGUACACAAAAGUAAAUAAAAAAAAAAAAUCUCUUGUACAGCUCAAGAGAUUUUAUAAGUUGAACUGAGCCAAACAAAGACACUCACACAAUUGAUAGAUAAUGAUAACCCAUCAUUUUAUUUAAUUAAUAUAAUACGGAAAGAGUAACUCGCACUUAACUAGUGUAGUUGGGAUUUCUUCCGUGUUGAGGGACAAUAAAGAGAUCUAUAUUAUCGUUCAUGCUCUCAUCAUUAACAAUACUUAUCAGAGAUAUUGGAUAACCCUCAGACCACUCGACCUUCCCUAAAAAUUCACAACAACAAUUGUAUUCAUUAAUACAUACAUUAAAAUAAAAAUUAUAAAUGACAUUCAACUGAACAUGGCCUGAGAACCUGGAUAAGGAGCUUCCAUGUUCUUCAAAUUAGAAAAGAUAUCUUCUAACUUCUGGUGAACCGUAAUCGAAAUUGAAGUUGCUUUUGUUUCUGGUUUGAUAAUAUGUUGCUGAUGUAUUUAUUUACGAGUCUUCGUAUAGUACAGUGUUGUAUGCAAUACAGCCCCUUCAACAGUAAAAAGGAAACUUGAACAACCGGUAUUUUACCGGUUGUACAUUUAAUAAAUUUUUAAAAAUUAUUUUUAAUGCAGAAAAAAUAAAAUAAAACGUAAAAAAUUAAGGCAAUUUUGUAAAUAUUUAACACAAACAAUGUUUGAGAGAAAAAAAUAUUUUUAAUUUCAACAAAAGUUAAAAAAAUUAAAGUAAGCAUGUCUCGACUCUUUUGUUUUAAUGUCAAUAUAUUAGGUGACAUUCCAAGUUAAUUUCACAUAUACCUAAUUUUGAUUAAACUUUCUCACUAGUUGGUUUGCUUAUCUCCACAUUCCAAGUUUAAUAUUCCCACUAAACUCGUUAAAUACUAAUAUUUUGGGUCAAAUUCCAAUUAAAUUUAUUUCUCGUUAGACAAGUAUCAAAAUUCCGUUAAACUUUCUCCACAUUUGGUUCAUGUGUUUCAACGAUUAUUCUACUAGUUUUUCAUUUAAUAUUUCAACUAGUUUAUCAAGAUUCCAAUUAUAUGGGUUAGAUAUUGAUAUCACUUUUUUUGGUUUGAUUAGUUCUAAAUUUUGGUAAUGUUUUUCCAUCUAUAGGUUCACAUGUUUCAACUUAUUGGUCCACUAAUUUUACGUUUGAUAUUUCUACUAAAUUUGUCAAGUACCAAUAUUUAUUGUUAGCUUCCAAGUAAUUAACAUUCGUCGUUAUUCUUAACAGCAAUGACUAGAAUUAUAAUAAGAACAAUAACGUUAAUACAAUAAUAUAACAACAUAAUAAUAUUUUAAUUGAGAGGAUAAGAAUGAAAUUAUGAAAUUUAGGUUGGGUAAAAAUGGUGAGUAUGAGGAAAUUAAAUUACCAUUUUUUAAGCUAAACAAUUCAUAAAUUCCACAUAUUUCAUUCUUAUUUCUCUUAUAUUUUAACAAAUAAACAUUAUCAAUCGUUUUAAUAUUUUUAUUAAUAAACACGAUAUUAACUACGAAACUAAAAGAUCCCAAAAAAAAAAAAAAAAAACAGAGACGCGUGUAUGCAUUGCUUGUGACAAAUCUCACCCAUGGAAAACUUUGUGAAAGGCAUUUGAAUUUGUGGCCACAUUUAAUGAACGAAACGAUAACUUUAAAAGAAAGUAUGUACUCUGUUAAUUAUUAGGCUUUAGCCUGAUGAUUGCAAUUAGUUUGUCUUUUAAUUAAAUUAUUGCCGACAAACACUAUCACGACCCACGUCCGCUCCUAGUGUGAAUGUGUGUAUAAAUAUCCGCAGCAUAUUAUCAAACCUGAUGCGUGAUCAUCUUUAAGUUUUGGUUACGGUUAAUCAGACGUCAGAAGAUAUCUUUUCUAAUUUGAAGCAGAUGGAAACUCCUUAUUCAGGUUCUUAGGCCAUGUUCAGUUGAAUGUCAUUUAUAAUUUUUAUUUUAACAUUAUGUAUCUACGAAUACAAUUAUUGUUAUGAUUUUUUCAGGUAAAAAUGGAUGGUCUGAGGGUAACCCAAUAACUAUGUACAUUAUUAUUAAUGAUGAGAGCGUGAAUGAUAAUUUGGAUUUUAUUCUCGUCCCUCAAUACAGAAGAAAUCUUGACCAUAGUGGUUAAAUGCUAUAUAACUCUUUCGUAUUAUGUUUAAUUAAUAAUAAAAUGAUGGGUUAUUAUUACCUGUCAAUUAUGUGAGUGUCUUUGUUUGGUUUAGUUCAACUUAUAAAAUCUCUUGAGAUCUAUAAGAGAUUUUCUUUGUUUACUUUCAUGUACCGCGUCUUCUUGUAAAAAGAAAUUAAUAAAAAAAAAUUAUCAUUGUGUGCAAUGUAUUGACUAAGUUAGUGUAUUCAUGUUAGCUUAAUUGUGCUCUCUCUCCUUGGGUUUUUUCUUUAAAAAAAAAAAAAAAAACUCCACGUAUUGUUGGUUAGCUAAUUCUUGCAGGUAGCAAGUGAUCGAUACUUUUCUUUCCCCUACUGCUGUAGCAUCAAAUCCUUACAAUUACAUAUCAAGUGGUAUUCGAGCCGUCAAAUGAUCCAUGGAAACACGCAACAAAUCAAAUGCUGAAUUUUGCGAAGAGAUUCACGAAAUCCUUGCUAUACAUGAGUCUAGUUUUGACCAAGUUCGCGUCACCCAUCAGCUGCGGGUUUGAAUGGUACCUAGUGGAUAUUUUGUGAGUUCCCACUAAUAAAAUCACACUUGCAACAAAACUUAAAAAUUUAAAUUACGUAAUUCAAAUUAUAAAUUUAUAAUCGUAGCCUAAAAAAUCACAUAAAAUACUUAAUUUUAUAUUUUAUCAAUGUAAAUGAGAAAUGAAAGUUUUAACAUUAAAAUAAAUACACAAAAUAUAUCAAUUUAACACAAAUUCUCAAAUUUAAUUACCAAAUACAUAAGUCUAUCGCAACUCAAAGUGCUUUCAAUUGAAAACAAAAAAAAGAGAAAGAGAAAAAAAAAACAAAGAACUACAAAUCAAAGUAGCAGCCAUGACCCAUUUUGCAGUCUCAUUCGAUACCAUUAGCACCCAUCCAACACAAUUUUUCUAAACAAAGUAUAAAGUACAAAAUUACAAUAAGCAUAUCAUACUCCAUGCUUUAAGUUAAAGAUCCUUAUAUAUUUUUAUGAAUAAUUUUUUAAUGAAAUUUUAUGAUUAAAAUUAAAAAUACAAACAUUCAAAUAAGAAUGUCAGACACUUGCGCAACUAUUUACCAAAUUUUUUUCUCUAUAAAAAUCGACCUGCAACUUUCAAUAGGUUUAAAUUUAUAAUAUCAAACCUGAUUGCAGCUCGCAAAAAUUAUCCGUUGCGGCCAAGACUUUGGAUUUGCGAUGAUUUUGCCACCCUAAGUGUAGUUAGUAUUGUAUAUCAUGUGGCUCUUAUAAAAAGCCUAGAAGUUGUUUGAAUAACGGGGGAGACACAUAUCUCCCAAAGAUUUUCUCUUUUUCAAAUUAUUAUUUUUUCUCUAUUAUUGUAACUUCGAAUCCUUAUAAAUUACAAAUUGGAGACAUGAACACAAUGUUUUGACAUAGUGGACUUUUGGCUUGUCCAGAGAAAUUUAGGAUAGAUUUUUACGCACUAAGGCUCUAUUUACUAUUGAGGUUUUAGAACUUUUAAGCCACACUAGAAAUUUGUAUUGUUUUGAUAGAGUUGUAGUCUUUGAUAUGUGAUUGGUAUUAAUCAAGUGUUAUGUUUACAAUAGUUAAAGGCAUAUUGAAUCAAAAUCCACUUCUAAGGGCUUGAUUAAGUGAUUGUAAAGUAGGUUUUUAGUUUGCUAGCCACUCAAGUUCAAAUAUUGGAACCACAGAGCGUUAUAGCCAAGUGAAAGAACUUGUGCCCUAAAAAUUGAGGGGUGCAUAUCGAGUUUUAUCACCAAUAAAAGUUGGUGUUAAAACUUUAAUUUCCCUCCUAUUGAUGGAUAGGGGGUAAUUAGGAGUUUACAUCCCCUCCUAUUAACAGACAGGGGUUAUUAAGAAUAUUAAAAAAAGUUCAAAUAUUGAAAAUAUAGGUAUGGGUUAUAAAAUUCAUAAUAUAAAGACACAAAAUCAAGAUAAAGGUUUAAAAAUUUAGAAUCAUGAGAGCGUGACUUGUAAGUUUCAAAGAAGUAUGUGCAAAUAUAUGCAUUAUUGAUGCCCAAUUAAGGGUGGGCAUUAAGAUCGGGUAAACCCGAACCGAACCGAACUUAAAAUUUAUUUUGGAUUCAAUUUGGUUAUGGUUGAAGCUUUCAACUGAGUUCAAAAUUUAAAAAUGAUUGAGUUGUAUUUAUGUUCGAAUUUAACCCCAAAAGACUAAUCAAUCCAAUCGAGUUAAGUAAGCAAAUUAAGAAAAAAAAUCCCAAAAAAUUAAAACUAACCCUAACUAAAAACAUUCGACCGCGCCCUCCUCGUUUUCUUUUCUUCUUCCAAAACCCAAUCAUAAGUUCAUAACGUUUAGCGUUUGCUAUUACUAUAAUUUUUUUUAACCAAUUUUCACAUUCAUCAACAUAGGCUGACAGAUUUUGUGGAAAAUAAAAUUAAAUAAAAAUACGAGCUCACGAAAUUCCUUUUCCGAUGUGGGAAUCUAUCUACACCUUUCACGUGCUUUCUUUUUCGGUGGUGGUGGGGGAUUCACUUGCUUUUGUUUGCAUUGCCUUAUUGGAUAAAAGUUUGUAGAACAUCGUCUGUUUGGUUAAAGCCGAGCAUGAGUGAAGAAAAAUUAAAAAAAAAUAAUUUCCCAUUAAUUUGCAACAAGUAUUAAUAAAGUGCAUGCGAAAAGACACCAGGAUAUGCCUUUUUUUAAAUGAAAAUAAAUGUCCCUUUAUGAUGCCGUAAUUUUUUUUACGGUAUCAAUAGUGUAAGAAAUAUAGACCGUUAGAUCUAAUCAACGGUAUAUAUUAUUUUUAUUAAUAAAAUUUUUUAAUUAUUUGAAAAUUGUGUUAACCGGUUAACAAACCUAUAAAAUAGGUAAUUUUAAAUUUAAAAUAAAAAAGAAAUAGAGAUGCAGUAAAGUACAAUCUCUCUUUAUCUCUCACGUUCAUAUUUUUAUAAUUGGAUUCUUUAAGAUUAUCUUUGUCUCCUAAUGAUUAGAUGAAAAAGAUUCGAUAAAUUUCUCUUAAUAAAUAUUUCGGUAAAUUUCUUUUUUUUUUUAACAAAAAGCAAUUAAAUUUUCCUCUGGAAAAAGGUAAAGGUCAUUGUAGCACUCAAAUUGUCAUUUUUAACUCAGUUUUUUAAUUGAAGGGAAAAAAAAGGCAAACAACAUAGGCUAAAACACUGUGCUAAAUUUAAUAACCCAAGUUCAGGUGAACAAGACAUCUAGCAAAGUUAUGCAUCACUUCUUCUUCUCUCCACCUCCAGGGGCCCUACUCUUGCGAAGGGCAUUAGACAUCUCCUCCCGCUUCUUUUUUGCCCUCUUGUGAGUGCCAAGCUUUCUCUUUGCAACCUUCAGUGCCCUCUUGUCCUUGCCGACUUUAAGAAGCUCAGUGAUCCUUUUCUCAUAAGGUGCAAAGCCAGCAACUUCCCUAAUCACAGUCCUCACGAAGUGGACCCUUUUGCUUGUUUUCCCUUUGCGAUCUGCUGGGCGUGGCGGCAGUUCCUUCUUCGUCACAAUAUAACCCUUGUUUAAUCCAACAAAGAGACCAGUAUUUGGCUGUUUCGGAGCCAUCACCUCCGACGAAACUGAGUUGCUGCGGAAACCUGAGAUGAGUUGGGAGUAAAUAUUUCGGUAAGUUAUUCUUGAAUGAUUCAGAUUAAAUGAAUGAUUCAGAUUAUCUAUUUACCUGCAACCUGUAAGUUACCUGCUAUAUUUUAAUUAAUUAUCUAAUUAUCCAUUAUAUUAAAUGAAUGAUUCAGAUUAAAACUCUUAUAUCUAAGGGUCCACAUUAGUUCCACUAUCAAUACUGUAAAAAUAAAUACAGCAUCAUAAAGAAAUCCGUUAAUUAAUCAAUUUAAAUGGUAUGACAUUUUGAAAUGACAGAAGCGAUCUAAAGUUUAAAUCUUACUCACACCUAAUUUAGGGUUGGGAAUUAAUUGACGUAAUAUAUAAUAACGAAUUCGAAAGACAAUUAAAAAUUAAAAGAAAAUAAAAAAGUACUUUCUUUUUUAUGAUGGUAAUUUGUUUAGAUGAUGAAAACUCUUAGAGUGGUAUUAUCAAUACAUAGUUUCGAGCGUUGCCAACGUGAAUAAUAUUUAAUUUCCUUUAUCUAGUUAUAUCUCAACUAACAUUUAAACAGAAGUAAGUUGUAAAAAAAAUGAACUAUUGAGAUUUGAGAGAACGAAAAACUAAAAAAAAAAAGUUAAAAAAUUAGAUCUCAAUAAAUUUACUUGAGAACUACUUUACUGAUUAGUGAAGAGAAAACACAAAGAAUAAUGAUGUAUCUCAAUUAAUAGGAUAGUUUUUGUAUUUUUCGUUUAUUCAAGAAUCACGAAACUUCAUUUAAACUUGUUAUUUCAUUGAUAAUAUAUUAAUAUUGAACAAUUAAUGUAGGAGACAUUCCUUUCCAAUUAUGCCCAUAUAUUAAUUAAAGAUCACCAAAAAGUUCAGGGAUACUAUAGUAAUUUAAGUCAACAAUUUCUGUGCUUGAAAUCAGCCGAUCAAACUCAUUUUAGAAUAAACUGAGAAAUCAAAAUCACAUUCUCCGAUUCUAUGAUUUCAAUUCAUCUUAUUUCUUCAACUGAAAAAUUGGUUGUAUUUCGUUUUAUUUUAUUUUUAUUUUUAUAUAAAGAUAAAUAUAAAAUAUAAAUGACGAGGAGACUGUAAAAGUAAAAUCAAAAGAAGAGCACAAGUUUUAUUGAAAAUGACUCUUGUCAUCAUUUUGCCGGAGUGAAUGUAUCUACAUAUAAACUAAAGAAGCACAUUUGUUUGUAUUAGCUUUUUUAUUGUAUUUUUAAUAAUAAGUCAUUUGUCAAUGAACUUAUAUCAAAUUUUUACGAAAAUAAUAGGUGUUAGUUAGAUUAUUCAAAUGGCAAAACCUCUUGGGAUAGAGCUUGUAAUUUAGUGGCUCAUGAAUUGUCUAAAUUGACACUACCGAAUUAUUGUAUUUGGUUAAAAAAGCUCCUACUCUGCUUCAACUUUAUUAUCCUAUGAUGUUUAUUAAUAAAUAACAAUUUUAUUGAAAAAAAGACCUCUUGAAAUGAUACAAAAGAUUUGGGACAUGAAUCUCACUCGAAUUUAGCUUGAGGUUGGCAUUGUUAGCAUAAUAUUUGAAGAUAGAUUUUUUUUUAAUUAAAAAUCAAAAGAUUUUUUUUAAUUAAAAAUCAAAAGAUUUUUUUUUUUGGGGUUCAUACUAGUUAGUUUUAACUCAUAGUGAGAUUUAAACAAAAAUGGAAUAAUAAAUCUUGAUAUCCUGACUCAUGGAUAAUGUAUAGAUAAGAUAGUAAAAUUUAUUGUGUCAAAAAUAAGAGGUCUGAAGUUUGAAUUUCGCUCACAUAGGUAGUAAGAGAAUCAAAUUAUUGAUAGAUUAAAUUAAUUUAAAAAAUUUCUGAUAUCCAAAACAACGUAUCAACAAAAUUGAAAUAAAAGAAAAUUGAAGAGAAAAACCAUUGAGAGAACGAAAAAUUAACACAAGAAAAUUUCUAUAACUAAUUGUAUCAGUGUGCGCCAACUUCACUUAUUAAAACAUGGUUAUUUCAUUUUCAUGGAUAAUCAUUUUGACACCGGUCAAAUUUAAAAGUUUCAAAAAAUAUGGGCGAUUUUUCUUUCCAGCUAUGCCCAUUAACUAAUAAAAGAACCGCCGAAAGGGUUCGGGGAUAGUAUAGUAAUUUAAACUAACAGUUUCUGUGCUUCAUAUCGUCAGAUCAAACUCACACCUCACAAAAGCAGAGAAAUCAAACGGUUUCCGACUCUACGCUUUAAAUUCAGCUUCAUUUCUUCAACUGAAGAAUCGGUCGUCUCUCAUUUUUUAUUUAUUAUAUAAAGAUAAAUAUCUAAAUUUAAAUGGCGAGAAGAGCGGACGAGGAAUACGAUUACUUGUUCAAAGUGGUAUUAAUCGGCGAUUCGGGAGUCGGCAAAUCGAACUUACUCUCCCGAUUUACUCGUAACGAGUUCUGUUUGGAGUCCAAAUCCACUAUUGGCGUCGAAUUCGCCACCCGCACUCUUCAAGUAACUAACUUUUCCUCUUUCACUUCUCUUCAUUUUUAUUAGUUAAUUAAGAUCCAGUUAAUGUAAUUAAUUUUAUUUAAUCUUUUAAAUAAAGUUCUAGAUUAGGCUAACUUAGAUUCAUGUGAAGUUGAAGUGAUUUACUUUCGAUCUCUUUUUCGUCCUAUGUUUAUUUGUACUUACUAUUACUUUUUUUUGGGUUUAAAUUUUCGUUUUUGAAGUGUUUACUGAAUAAAUUUCUGAGCUUUAUUUGUGUAUGCUGAUUGAUUUGUGAUUUUAAU